This 188-nucleotide non-coding RNA is filed under the name Thermoanaerobacteraceae bacterium. Its description in RNAcentral is "6S RNA". It matches the Rfam family "6S / SsrS RNA". Rfam says of the family: E. coli 6S RNA was the first non coding RNA to be sequenced, but its function was unknown until recently. It consists of 184 nucleotides that fold into an extended hairpin structure with a large single-stranded internal bulge. The record is from RNAcentral. Lineage: Bacteria; Bacillati; Bacillota; Clostridia; Thermoanaerobacterales; Thermoanaerobacteraceae.
CACGGUCUGAGGUAUUUGUGAGCUUUUUAUUUUGAACCUACGGUGUAGCAAAGGGAGUCCAAUAGGGAAUGUAAGAUAUCGGGCCCAGAGUAAGACCAAAUGGCAGGGGAAGAUAGAAGCAUUCAUGCGGACACCCACCUAUCGAGAGAUAGGUGUCAAAAUGAGAGCAACGGUAUCUUGGAUUAGAA